Molecule: long non-coding RNA, 840 nt
Filed under: Homo sapiens (human)
Lineage: Eukaryota; Metazoa; Chordata; Mammalia; Primates; Hominidae
Description: HSALNT0280954
Source: RNAcentral
CGGGGUUUCACUGUGUUAGCCAGGAUGAUCUCGAUCUCCUGACCUCUCCUGAUCUGCCUGCCUCAGCCUCCCAGAGUGCUGGGAUUACAGGCGCUCAUGGCUUAUUUUUCAAAAAUUUUAUUAGUCUUUUCAAAAGAUCAAUGCUGUGGCUUGAAUGUUCCUUCCAAAACUCAUGUUGAAAUUUCAUCAUUGUAACAGUGUUGAGAGGUGGGACCUUUAAGAGGUGAUUAGGUCAUGAGGGUUCUGCCCUCAUAAAUGGAUUAAUGCCUUCAUCUCGAGCGUGGGUUGGUUAUCACGAGAGUGGGUUCCUGUUACCAUGAGGCAAGAAGACCCUCACUAGAUGUUGACACCAUGCUUUUGGACUUUCUAGCCUCCAGAACCGUGAGCCAAAUAAGUCUCUUUUCUUUAUAAAUUACCCAGACCGUGGUAUUCUGUUGCAGCAACAGAAAGCAAAGACAACCAGUUUUUGAAUUUGUUAAAGCCUCUCCAUUGUACUUUUAACUUCACUGAUUUCUUAACUUUCUCAUUUCCUUUCUUCUACUUUACUUGGGUUUAUCAUGCUAUUUUUUUUGUAAGUACUUAACUCACUAAUUUUAUUUUAUUUCCACCCCCCCCCCACGACACAGGUCUCCCUCUUUUGCCCAGGCUGGAGUGCAGUGGCACAACCAAGGCUCACUGCAGCCUCAACCUUUCCAGACCCAGGUGAUCCUCCCACCUCAGCCUCCCAAGUAGCUGGGACUACGGGUGCAUGCCACCAUGCCCGGCUAAGUUUUGUAUUUCUUGUAGAGACGGGGUUUUGCCAUGUUACCCAGGCUGGUCUCGAACUCUUGGGCUCAAGUG